Molecule: RNA transcript, 3950 nt
Organism: Arachis duranensis
Lineage: Eukaryota; Viridiplantae; Streptophyta; Magnoliopsida; Fabales; Fabaceae
Exons: 11
Source: RefSeq, a predicted model, not a curated record
UACACCGGACUGCUCAAAGUCUCCCUCUUCAUGCCACCAAGGCAUUUAUGGAGGAGGCAAAGCAAGAGUUUGACCGGAUGUAGAGCUGCGCAAGCCUUGAAGUGCUUGGGCUUCAUGAUUUAUCAUCCUUCCAUUGUGUCCUCACUUCCACCGGAUGAUGUCAAUUUGGUAUUAGAGUCACUGUCCAAACUUAUUACAACCACUAAAUUAAAGUCUGCUUGUAAUUUAGGGGUAUGGUGUAUAUCUGUUCAACAGUCAGGAGAAUCGUGUCUUGCUACUCACUUCCAUUCUUUGUUACUAGCAAUUGUUCAUGCCUUGGACAACCCAAUGGGUUCUUUGUCAACAACAUUUGAAGCUACCCAGGCUGUAAUGAAGCUAUGUGGUCAACUAAGUGAACAAAUGAGAGACUCAUCCCAUAUAUGGGCUCCUCCAAUAUACAGAAGACUUCUCAGCACAGAUAAGAGGGAAAGGGAUGCCUUGGAACGAUGUCUAUUGAAGGUCAAAACUUCAGUCAUUCCUCCUUCCUUGGAUCUCUCGAAGGUUCUUGUCAAAGAUAUGAAGUUAAAUCUGCUUAGUGGGAUGAAGAAAUUGUUAGAUAAGGGUAUGAAGAUUCAAGUUAUUCAAGCAUGGGGAUGGUUUAUCCGAAUGCUUGGAUCACAUGCUUUGAAGACUAGACAAUUAGUUAAUGACUCACUGAAAAUUCCUGAAUGUACAUUUACAGACCUUGAUCCUCAAGUUCAGAUUGCUACACUGGUUGCUUGGGAAGGUCUUAUCGAUGCUCUUGUUCACUGCACAAUGUUAGAUCCCAAUAAAAAUACCCCAGCCAAGGAAAAUCAUCUUCAAAAACAACAUUCAUUAGAAAGGAACAAUUGUGAUGUCCAAGCAAAUGGUUUUUCCAAGAGCAUAAGACUAAUAAUGACCCCAUUGAAUGGCAUUAUGUCUAGUAAGUGUGAUAUAUCAGUCCACUCAUCAUGCUUGAAUACAUGGUGUUAUUUGCUUCAUAAGCUUGAAACUUCUAUCAACGAACCCUCAUUGAUAAAGAUGGUAUUAGAGCCUAUUUUAAAAGCAAUAUUUCAGAAUGGACCUGAUAGCAAGAGCAUCUGGUUGUGGGGGCUGGGCCUAGAUCUGCUCAGUGAUUGUAUCUCACAGAAGUGUAGGGAUGUCCUCUGCCAAUCAACUAACCAGUUCAGAGAUAGAAUCUUUGAAACUGGGCCUUCUCUAUCUGCCAAAUGCUCUUGGAAGCUUCACCCAAUUAGAUGGUUGCCAUGGGAUAUCAGUCAAUUGGAUUUUUUUCUUAGUAUGAUUUCUGUUCUCAUUUGUCAAGCAUCAAGACCAACAGUGACUUCUGAUCAUAGAAGUCUUGUUUAUGAUGCUGCCUUAAAGUUAUUUACAUAUGUUUUAAAAGGAGUCAAACAUGAUUUGGAAAGUACAUCUACCAAUUAUGAUGGUAUUAUGUUGUGCUUGAAAUCAAUAUUAACAUUCAUAAAAAAUGUAUGCGAGGAUUUAUGCACAGAUGGCACUGAAAAGCAUGAUCUGUACUACAUUUCCAUUCGGUUUAUAGAAGUUGUCACAAAGGAAUUAGAUUCUUUGAUCUUGGGAUCUCCUCUCUACAAGUUUUCUUUAGACCUAAAGUACAUUGGUGGCACACAAUCAGGUGAUCGCAAUGAACACCUAAAUUUUAGUGUCAGUCGUGUUUCUUAUAUGGAUAAGGUUUCUCCAAUGGUUUAUUUGAUAGCGGUUUACUUCCAUAUGCUGGACUGGUUAGCAAUGAAUUCUUCUCAAUCAGACUGCAAGCCGCAAAGAAGCUCUGAGUAUUUUAAAUUCAUAUUUUCUUCAAGUGAUUCCCCAGACAAUCUACUUACUUUUGUUGGCUUCUUGUACAAAGAUGUUCGACCAAUUCACUUAAAAAUAUGGAUAACAUUGGCUGAAGGAUUGAAUGGCUGUGCACGUGAUCCAAACUGUAGGUCUCUACGGGUAGCCAUGUCUGAUAGUGCUGCAUAUUCUUCAAUAUGCCAUCUUUUAAUUUAUCCCAUUGUGGUACACACUGAAACUGCAAGAUUGACCUUGUCAAAUGCUGGUGCCUCUUCAGAGAAUUAUAAAGUAUUACUAGAAGAAAACCCAAGGCUUGACCUUGUUAUUCAAACAUGGAUAUCGCUUUACGAAUCUCUUAGUGCUUCAGGCUUCGGAUGUUCAACAACCACCAAUUUUUCUGGAGAUCUGUGCACAUUGUUAACCAGGUGCCUUGAUGAUAGCAUUGACAUGGCUGAGAGCGGCGUUGAACUUCAUUUGAAAUGCAAUGAUACUGAUCUUGGUAUCCUUCAUUUAUCUGGCAAUUUCAUGAUAUGCAUUCUUGACCACAUUCAGACUUCAGAAUUAGUUUCAGAAACAGAAAUAAGUAACACUGACCGUGAGAGCAAAAUUCUCUGUGGCAUAAAUAACUGCUUAAAACUUGCUGCUAGGUAUAUGAAUUUGUUGAUGAAAACGGUGGUGAUAGACCCACUGCCUGGUUUUGUUGGGACCUCAAGAGUAUCUUCUGCAUUAGCAAAUUUCAUUAGCCGCCUUCACUGGAAGCAAGAUAUUCUUCUUUUUCUGGAGAUUAUUUCCUGUCCACUACUUCAAUGGCUAUCAAAUAUGGUAAAUCAGGAUGAAACAACAAAUGAGCAACUCCAACAUCUGUGGAAUGAAAUUUUAAGUUGUUUAAAAAGAAGUCAACCUCCAAUGAACUUUGGUUCCGCUUUACUCAGACUUCAUGAAACCUUGUUUGAAAAAACUCUUGAUCAUCCAUAUCCCUCCAUUUCAAAACCAACCAUCACAUUUUGGAAUUCCACGUUUGGUCAACAAGUUAUUCUAGAUUUCCCACCGAAUCUGCUCUCUGUCCUCGACAGACUAUCUAGGAAUGGGAAAUUAAAACUCCAGAAGAGAAGCCUACCACCUCUUCAAAAAUGUCAUUCCUCUAAGGAAGUCAGUGGCACUCUGCCAGGAUACCAGGUCACUGCAACACAUAAUAGGACAUCUAAGAGAAUUGAGUUAGUGCCGGACGCACAAAAAGAUGCAUCUCCUUUGAGUGUUAAGAAAAGGAGAUUAGAACUGACUGAGCAUCAAAAGGAAGUGAGGCGAGCGCAGCAAGGAAGGGAAAGGGAUAGUGGAGGACAUGGCCCUGGAAUUAGAACUUACACUAAUGCUGAUUUCUCUCAAGGGCUUGAUGAAUCACAAGAAAGCCAGGAAAUAAGAGACUCAGAAGCCAUACUGCAGAUGUUGAGGAAAACUAUUUAGUUACCUCAGUGCUGAAUUGCAUUGGCACUAAAACAGCCCCAGCAGAGCAGACAGUUGCCGCCACCACCACAAGCACGUUGCUUUUUUGGUCGUUCCUCUGUUGUUUUUGCUCUUGCUGCUGUCGUGUACGCCUCUUUCGACCAUCGCUGCGCUGUCGCUCUGUUCUGCUGUCUAUUGUUAUGCCGUUCACUGCUCUUUCCUCACCAUGACUCUCGCUCUCUGGAAGCCCGCUUGGCGUUGCAAAUUCUAGCCUUUAAGGACCAAGCGUAGAGAGAGUUGACGGCACACAUGGAGACAAGGGAGGAGAUCAGGCAGCUUCGGCUAGACGAGGAUGUGAAUCUGCUCUGUGGGUUUCGAAUCCAAACACAGAGCGGUCAUAGAUGAAAGAGGAAGAGUCGAACCGGUGCGAGGAAAGGUGACAUUGAUGAGAUGUGGCAUAGCAACAACAGCGCGACAGAGAGAACAGACGACAGGAACAACGUGCGUUUCGAACGGCGCAACAAGAGACAGCGGUCUGUGGUGGGGCCUGCACGGUCUGCGGCAGGUAACAGUGAUAACAAAGACGCACGGGCUGCUCCGGCGCGAUAUUCCAUUGCUCCGGCACGCAAGCGAAACGCGGAAAGACUAGGCGGCGUCGGCUAGGUGAUGUCAGACCGGAGAGCAAAAAAGUGCAACAA